AAGGGCACCACAAGAACGCGUGGAGCAUGUGGCUUAAUUUGACUCAACCCGGGAAAUCUUACCAGGUCCAGACAUAUUGAGGAUUGACAGGCGAUAGUAUAUAAAAUAUAUUUUUAUAUGCAUAAAAAUGAUAGUCCUUUCAUGAUUAUAUGAUAGGUGGUGCAUGGCAGUUCUUAGUUCGUGGAGUGAUUUGUCUGCUUAAUUGCGUUUCAGUAAAUAAAAUAUAUAAUAUAUUAUAAUAUUUAGUUCUGCCAUUUAUUUAUGGAUUUAAAGUGAACAUAUUAUAUAUAUUAUUAUAUAAUAAAUGAAUGCAACGAACGUGACCGUAACCUUUUAUUGCUAUUGAAAAUUAUAAUUAUAGCAUAAAAUUAAAGGAACCGCUGUCAUUACUAAAUAUGUGUUAAAAUAGAGUAAGAUUAUGGCAAUAACAGGUCUGUGAUGCCCUCAGAUGUUCUGGGCUGCACACGUGCUACAAUAAUUACAUUAAUAAGUAUAUAUACUUUAUAAUAUAUAAUAUUAUAUUACAACCUAUUUCGAAAGUAAAUCGGUAAUCAUUUAAAAAUCGUGAUUAAUUAAUAUAAAUAUAAUUAAUUUAAGGUGGGGAUAGUGUAUUGUUAAUUAUUACACUUGGCCUUAACUAGGAAUGCCUUGUACUCUUCUUUGGUUUAACAUACCAAGAGGAAUACGUCCCUGCCCUUUGUACACACCGCCCGUCGCUCUUACCGAUGAAUUAUAUUAUAAAUCUAAGGGAUUUAUUAUAAUUAAAAUAUAAAAAACUUAUAUACAUAAUGUGAUUUAAAGGAAAGAGAAGUCGAACAAGGCA
This 823-nucleotide ribosomal RNA is filed under the name Sorites orbiculus. Its description in RNAcentral is "SSU rRNA". It matches the Rfam family "Eukaryotic small subunit ribosomal RNA", at positions 1160 to 1801 of the family's 1831-position model. Lineage: Eukaryota; Foraminifera; Miliolida; Soritidae. The record is from RNAcentral.